UGGGGGAUAUUGCACAAUGGGCGAAAGCCUGAUGCAGCGACGCCGCGUGGGGGAUGAAGGCUUUCGGGUUGUAGACCUCUUUCGCUAUCGAACAAGGCCCGCUUAGGGUGGGUUGAGGGUAGGUGGAGAAGAAGCGCCGGCUAACUACGUGCCAGCAGCCGCGGUAAUACGUAGGGCGCGAGCGUUGUCCGGAAUUAUUGGGCGUAAAGGGCUUGUAGGCGGCUUGUUGCGCCUGCUGUGAAAACGCGGGGCUUAACUUCGCGCGUGCAGUGGGUACGGGCAGGCUUGAGUGUGGUAGGGGUGACUGGAAUUCCAGGUGUAGCGGUGGAAUGCGCAGAUAUCUGGAGGAACACCGAUGGCGAAGGCAGGUCACUGGGCCAUUACUGACGCUGAGGAGCGAAAGCAUGGGUAGCGAACAGG
RNAcentral lists this ribosomal RNA (420 nucleotides) under Chloroflexota bacterium. RNAcentral describes it as "Chloroflexi bacterium partial 16S ribosomal RNA". It matches the Rfam family "Bacterial small subunit ribosomal RNA", at positions 355 to 776 of the family's 1533-position model. Lineage: Bacteria; Bacillati; Chloroflexota. The record is from RNAcentral.